CCUACGGGUGACAGCAGUGAGGAAUAUUGGUCAAUGGACGCAAGCCUGAACCAGCCAUGCCGCGUGCAGGAAGACGGCUCUAUGAGUUGUAAACUGCUUUUGUACGAGGGUAAACGCAGACACGCGUAUCUGUCUGAAAGUAUCGUACGAAUAAGGAUCGGCUAACUCCGUGCCAGCAGCCGCGGUAAUUCGGAGGAUUCAAGCGUUAUCCGGAUUUAUUGGGUUUAAAGGGGGCGUAGGCGGUCGGAUAAGUUAGAGGUGAAAUCCCGGGGCUCAACGUCGGAAUUGCCUCUGAUACUGGUCGGCUAGAGAGUAGUAGCGGUAGGCGGAAUGUAUGGUGUAGCGGUGAAAUGCUUAGAGAUCAUACAGAACACCGAUUGCGAAGGCAGCUUACCAAGCUACUUCUGACGUUGAGGCACGAAAGCGUGGGGAGCAAACAGGAUUAGAUACCCUUGUAGUC
Molecule: ribosomal RNA, 460 nt
Filed under: uncultured bacterium
Lineage: Bacteria
Description: partial 16S ribosomal RNA
Rfam family: Bacterial small subunit ribosomal RNA
Source: RNAcentral